GAUGAACGCUGGCGGCGUGCUUAACACAUGCAAGUCGAACGGGAAACCUUUUAUUGAAGCUUCGGCAGAUUUAGCUGGUUUCUAGUGGCGGACGGGUGAGUAACGCGUGGGUAACCUGCCUUAUACAGGGGGAUAACAGUCAGAAAUGGCUGCUAAUACCGCAUAAGCGCACAGAGCUGCAUGGCUCAGUGUGAAAAACUCCGGUGGUAUAAGAUGGACCCGCGUUGGACUAGCUGGUUGGUGGGGUAACGGCCCACCAAGGCGACGAUCCAUAGCCGGCCUGAGAGGGUGAACGGCCACAUUGGGACUGAGACACGGCCCAGACUCCUACGGGAGGCAGCAGUGGGGAAUAUUGCACAAUGGGGGAAACCCUGAUGCAGCGACGCCGCGUGAAGGAAGAAGUAUCUCGGUAUGUAAACUUCUAUCAGCAGGGAAGAUAAUGACGGUACCUGACUAAGAAGCCCCGGCUAACUACGUG
RNAcentral lists this ribosomal RNA (478 nucleotides) under uncultured bacterium. RNAcentral describes it as "partial 16S ribosomal RNA". It matches the Rfam family "Bacterial small subunit ribosomal RNA", at positions 28 to 507 of the family's 1533-position model. The record is from RNAcentral.